RNAcentral lists this ribosomal RNA (494 nucleotides) under uncultured bacterium. RNAcentral's name for it is "partial 16S ribosomal RNA". It matches the Rfam family "Bacterial small subunit ribosomal RNA", at positions 28 to 507 of the family's 1533-position model. The record is from RNAcentral.
GACGAACGCUGGCGGCGUGCUUAACACAUGCAAGUCGAACGGUGAAGCGCCUUCCUUUUUGGUGGGUGUGGAUGAGUGGCGAACGGGUGAGUAACACGUGAGUAACCUGCCCCCUUCUUCUGGAUAACCGCAUGAAAGCGUGGCUAAUACGGGAUAUUCUGGGUCUGUCGCAUGAUGGGUCUGGGAAAGAUAUUGUUUCGGUGGGGGAUGGGCUCGCGGCCUAUCAGCUUGUUGGUGGGGUGAUGGCCUACCAAGGCGGUGACGGGUAGCCGGCGUGAGAGGGUGGACGGCCACACUGGGACUGAGACACGGCUCAGACUGCUACGGGAGGCAGCAGUGGGGAGUAGUGCACAAUGGGCGCAAGCCUGAUGCAGCGACGCCGCGUGAGGGAUGGAGGCCUUCGGGUUGUGAACCUCUUUCGCUAGUGAAGCAGGGCUGCCUCGUUUGUGGGUGGGUUGACGGUAGCUGGAUAAGAAGCGCCGGCUAACUACGUG